GUUAAUGAGCAAUCCAAAUGUUUAAUCAAAAAAAAAAAAAAAAACCCCACAAUGGCCUCAGUAUUUGGACCUGAGUGACGAAAACCCUGGUAGCCUUCCAGGGGGAAGCUGUUGGGGGAACUGCACUUGGCGUGGGGAGGCAGGAGCCUGGCUCACAGUGGGUCAGCUCUGAGAUGCUGGAGAUCCCCAAGGGGGCUGAGAAGACAAGUGGGGGCGCCGGAAGCCACUCAGCACCCCCAGAGCUGUCAGCCCAGGCACACACCUGGACCUCGGCCAGCCACAUCCCAGCCACAUCCUGACCACAUCCCCAGCCGGGAACCCAAGGAGUGGACAGCUGGAGGACAAUUGGCCAAGGGGAUGGAAGGCAGCUACAGUUGGCCAACGGGGUGGACAAACCAGAGCCCAAGUUGACGGCAGGCCCCCGCCUCAGGCUGGGGGUGGGAGGCCAGCACCGCUGUGACCAUCAGGAAGAAGGUGGUGGCCUGGUGAGGCCUGGAUACUCUAGCACCUUUGCAGCCAGACGUUGAUAGGGUCCCUGUUUCCC
RNAcentral lists this long non-coding RNA (544 nucleotides) under Equus caballus (horse). RNAcentral describes it as "lncRNA (ENSECAG00000046976.1)". Lineage: Eukaryota; Metazoa; Chordata; Mammalia; Perissodactyla; Equidae. The record is from RNAcentral.